GGCAGGGACAGCCCCUCUGAUGAGGAGGCCACUGGGCUGAGACCAAUGAAUGAGAUGGAGCCAGCCACGUGGUGAGCCAGAAGAGGGCAUCACAGGGCUUGAGUCUGGGGGAGCCUGGCUGCCCAGAGGUGGCAGAUGACAUGAAGAAAUAACCAUGUAAGGGCUGGCUGUGUAUGAGCCCUGACUUCCCACAGCUAUCCCCAAACACACUCGUUUACACUGAAGCACCAGGAGAUCAGAACCUUCUGGAAUCUUAAUAUGCGAGGACUCGGUGGAGAAGGCGGCACUGAAGAAGAGUCGUCCCUAGGCCAGGCUGGAGGGAAACUCAAGACGGCGGCCUGGCCCUCCUGGGUGGCGGAAGUGGGAGCAGCAGGAGCCCUGGCGGAUCCGGGAGGCCAGAAGAGCGGAAGCUUCCUCCCCUCUCAGGACAGCCACAAGGACUUUCGGGGGUCGUGGCAGCUGCUCCACUUCCAACUUCCAGAUCCCUCUCACUUUCCUCUUCCCACCAACUCCAACCUGGGACCAAGCAGGGGAAAGCAGCUGCAGCCCAGCUUGACGCCCCUGCAAAUGGAGACCUGUGCACCUGGUUGUGAGCAUUUUAAAGGGUGUCACACAGGGCAUACCCUUCGGUGCCUGGAUUCCUUUGGUUUACAUCCAGCAGGAGUUGGCCCUGAGCUCUGAGUCCAGAUCAUUGCUCUUGGCUGAAGCAGCCUGUCUACUCACAAAGAUGAGCAUGGUCCCUGCCACGAGGAAACUCGUGGUCCUGUGGACUGCGGUGUGGAGGGAAAGCUUGGGAUUCUGAGCCUGAUAAUGCACCAUUACAUCCCCACUCACUCGGGCUGUGUGAACCCAGCAAGUCACAGGAUCACUGGGUGGUGAAAGAAAGAAACACUCACAGAAGCGUCUGUGCUUGGAGAGCCAUCUGGUCCGUCAUUGUGACUGCUGCUCUCAUUGCUAUCAUGGGUGUCACCAUUGCCAUCACUCAAGGACUUCUCUCCAGGCCCCGAAGCCAAGCUGGUGCCUGGUUCCUCUGGGUUGGGAGAGGGGCUGGGCAUGGACAGGAGGAGGGAAAAGGGACCUGUGCUAGCAGGUGAUGCCAUCCAAGACAUCUGCAUCCUAAUCCCUGGAACCUGGGAUUCCACUAGGUGCCAUGGCAAAGAGGGAUUAAGGUGGCAGGUGGAGUGAAGGUUGCUAAUCAGCCGACCUUAAAGUAGGGAGAUGAUCCUGAAUGAGACAAAAGAGAGAACCAGUCAUGGUGUCAUGAGAAGGACUCAAAAUGCAACUGCUGACUUUGAAGAUUAAGGGGCUACAAACCAAGGAACGUGGUAGUCUCUGGAAAAGACAAGGAAUAGACGCUGCGUUGGGGCCACCAGAAGGAACCAGCCCUGUCAACACCCUAAUUUUAGCCCAGUGAGGCCUGUGCUGGACUUCUGACCUCCAGAACUGUAAACUAAUAAAUGUGUGUUGUUUCUGCCACUAGA
This 1481-nucleotide long non-coding RNA is filed under the name Homo sapiens (human). RNAcentral's name for it is "long intergenic non-protein coding RNA 917". The record is from RNAcentral. Lineage: Eukaryota; Metazoa; Chordata; Mammalia; Primates; Hominidae.